Molecule: long non-coding RNA, 979 nt
Organism: Carassius carassius (crucian carp)
Lineage: Eukaryota; Metazoa; Chordata; Actinopteri; Cypriniformes; Cyprinidae
Exons: 3
Source: RefSeq, a predicted model, not a curated record
ACAGACCCCUCAUUUCUUUGUAAUUGGGCAAACUCACAAAAUCAGCAGGGGAUCAAAUAAAUAUUUUCCCCACUGUAGGACAUUAGAAGAGCAACACCUCUUAAACCGACCAGAAAUCAGUCAUCAGGCCUUUCUCUCUCUGGCUAUCCCACAGCACUUUUUGGCUCUCCUGGUCAUCUAGUUCUGCCCUUAGUUUGUCCUAAGUGAAUCAGACCAGAAGUAUUAGCUUGCAGAAUCGCAUCUCACCCCGUCCCGUUCUGGAAUGAGCUGAGUGGUCCACACACAUACACCCCUGAGCAUUAAUACCCCUCUGUGGAGGCCUCUGCUCUCCCAACCACACCCUGUUUUUUCUGCCUCAUAUUUUUUAAUGACAAAAUGUUUUUGUGAAACAAUCGGGGUUGACUUUUCUCUCAAUCCGGGGGUAUAGUGUUGGGAGCUUACGCGGUUCCGGUACCCAGCAUUUCAGACGGCUAACAAAACAGGUCCACUUUACUUCUGCUUCGGUGGCUGCCUGCAAUGCUUUUCACCCACAGGAAAAAGACCAGAGGGGCAGAGAGCACGUGGCGGGUGAAUGAAUGAGCCAGGUUGGAUGCCUAUUCAAACCCAGUAAGACUCAUAGUAUUUUACAAUGGGCAUGACUUCAUCAGAGGCCUCUGAAGCUGAGGUGCCAGUGAAUUCAUGCAGCUGUUGGGGCCACAUCAGAGAAUGGGAGAAAUGUCCAUAAUUCUCAAAUCCCCAUUUAUGUAUAGGGUUACAUUUGAGUUAAAAGCAGAAAUUUUGGGUGUUUGAUGUGUUGCUGAUAUGUUCAACAGACAAAGGUACAUGAUAGUUGACGUUUGCCCGUUUAGUUAAAUGUUAAUAUUCUCCUUCAAUGAGAGGGAUUGGAAAUUUAGUAGUAAUGUUCCUAUGUUUCCCCCUUAAGUCUUUAAUCUCUCGGUUUAAAAGCAAUGUAUCACAAUUCAUAGUUCUUUAUGAAAUA